RNAcentral lists this ribosomal RNA (254 nucleotides) under uncultured bacterium. RNAcentral describes it as "partial 16S ribosomal RNA". It matches the Rfam family "Bacterial small subunit ribosomal RNA", at positions 524 to 776 of the family's 1533-position model. The record is from RNAcentral.
UACGAAGGGGGCUAGCGUUGCUCGGAAUCACUGGGCGUAAAGGGUGCGUAGGCGGGUCUUUUAAGUCAGGGGUGAAAUCCUGGAGCUCAACUCCAGAACUGCCUUUGAUACUGAAGAUCUUGAGUUCGGGAGAGGUGAGUGGAACUGCGAGUGUAGAGGUGAAAUUCGUAGAUAUUCGCAAGAACACCAGUGGCGAAGGCGGCUCACUGGCCCAAUACUGACGCUGAUGCACGAAAGCGUGGGGAGCAAACAGG